UGGGUUGUGGCUCAGCGGUAGAGUGCUCGCCUAGCAUGUGUGAGGCGCUGCAUUCGAUCCUCAGCACCACAU
RNAcentral lists this transfer RNA (72 nucleotides) under Marmota monax (woodchuck). RNAcentral's name for it is "tRNA.Ala". Lineage: Eukaryota; Metazoa; Chordata; Mammalia; Rodentia; Sciuridae. The record is from RNAcentral.